AGAAAGGAAUACCCGAUGAUGGAAGUAACUCUUAUGGCUGGAGAUUGCAGGUUUAUGACUGAUCCUAUUUGGGAAGAACCAUGAUGGCAGGCAUUCGAGCUUUAUUUAUGUACUUGUGGCUGCAGCUGGACUGGGUGAGCAGAGGAGAGAGUGUGGGGCUGCAUCUUCCUACCCUGAGUGUCCAGGAGGGUGACAACUCUAUUAUCAACUGUGCCUAUUCAAACAGUGCCUCAGACUACUUCAUUUGGUACAAGCAAGAAUCUGGAAAAGGUCCUCAAUUCAUUAUAGACAUUCGUUCAAAUAUGGACAAAAGGCAAGGCCAAAGAGUCACCGUUUUAUUGAAUAAGACAGUGAAACAUCUCUCUCUGCAAAUUGCAGCUACUCAACCUGGAGACUCAGCUGUCUACUUUUGUGCAGAGAAUACACAUUGCUUUCUAGGCAUCUGUAACCAUCACCCAAACCUGAGAUGGGAGGUGAAGCAGCAUCCCUUUCCUUUGCAAUAAAGUUUAGUUAUAGCACUUGUCAUUUUGUUUGUUCAUAAGUGGAAACUAACAUAUAGAUAUUAAAACCAUGUAAUGAGGUUAGAUUCAAAGUGACUCAGAAAGGUUUAGAGCAUUUUGUUGGCCAGUUGAUGCUUAAUGGAUUCCGUUUUUCAAAAAAAUGUAUGGUACACAUUUAAGUUAACAACAUGAAGUUUUGACACACAUGUACAUAGUAAAGUAAAGAGUCAGCUAAAGAGACGCAUAGGGCAAGGUAUGGGAAAAAUGGCCCUGAGCUUCCAUGCCUUCUCUGGCUCUGCCACCCACCACGUGUUCAGCAAUCAGGAGGUUCUGCUCAAGGGAUCCUUACAGAGAUUUAGUGAUGUUGGAUUUUGUAAUCUAGUCUUUAAAGGUGACUUUACAUUUGCUAUUCAGACUUCUCUCCUAUGAAUAACCCCUUAGUGUCAAUAUUGCAAUCCCUAUUAUGGAUAAAUUUUAACUUUUAGUUUUCAAAAAUUGCUUUUGUUAUCUUUUUCUUAUUGUAAAACAUUACAUGCCAAAACCAGAUAAUGUGUAAAAUAUAAAAAAUACAAAAUUGAUAAUUCUGUACCCAGAUAGGUUUUGCUAAUAUUAGGUUGGUGCAAAAGUAAGUGCUGUUUUUGCCAUUAAAAGUCAUGGCAAAAAUAACAAUUACUUUUGCACCAACCUAAUAUUUAGAUUUGUUUCUUGAUAGAGUCCUAUUAUAAUUAGGAUCAUGAUUUUUUCACCUAUUCUUAUAUCUCGAAUUGAGCUUUUCUCACUUCGUCAAGUCCUCUCCUCAAACACAUGCUUUUUAAUAGCUCCGUGAGAAAUUUUCAUGAGUCACAGUUAUUUUUAUUUUCUUACUCCCUGUAUCUGUGGUAAAAUUUGACAGUCCCUUCUACCUGCUGUUUCUUGUUGGGAAAACGUGAUGAGUUUUCCUUUAGAGUCUAGUUUGGACAUAUACUCUGUGUGUGAGAGGGAAAUUAAAACAGGAAGUGAUUUUAAAAUGUGAGCUUCAGAUUAGAGUCAUCAGUAUAUUCUUCAAAAUCUUAUUGGUAUCUCUUCAUAUUUACUCUCUCACAUAAUUGAGAAGAGUUAUGUUUUUUAAUCACUGCUGUUUCCGCAGAACCUAGCAUAAGCUUUUUCACAUUGUUAAUAAUCAAUAGAUGUUUGUUAAAGAAAGAAAAAACUAUUAAGUUAAAAAGAAAAAGAUUAAGUUAAAAAGAUUAAACUAUUGUAUAUUCAAAAUUUUAAUUUAGGCUUUGUGGUUGAAUUAAAUGUAUAAUUUUAUGUGUGAAUAAUUAAACUCCUGAAAAUGU
This is a non-coding RNA of Gorilla gorilla gorilla (western lowland gorilla), 1819 nucleotides long. NCBI's taxonomy places the organism in Eukaryota, Metazoa, Chordata, Mammalia, Primates, Hominidae. The record is from the annotation of a RefSeq genome assembly.